ACCAUUCUUUUCUUAGGGUUGUAUUACUAUCCAAUGAACGUCUAGUGAGGACAGUACUGCUAAUGCCUUAAAAAAAAAAUCUAAUCAAACAAAGGGGACAUCUGUAAUACUUUCAACA
This 118-nucleotide non-coding RNA is filed under the name Myotis davidii. RNAcentral's name for it is "U4atac minor spliceosomal RNA". It matches the Rfam family "U4atac minor spliceosomal RNA". From Rfam's summary of the family: U4atac is an essential component of the minor U12-type spliceosome complex which is required for removal of the rarer class of eukaryotic introns (AT-AC, U12-type). These interacting stem loops have been shown to be required for in vivo splicing. Lineage: Eukaryota; Metazoa; Chordata; Mammalia; Chiroptera; Vespertilionidae. The record is from Rfam by way of RNAcentral.